RNAcentral lists this ribosomal RNA (407 nucleotides) under uncultured bacterium. RNAcentral's name for it is "partial 16S ribosomal RNA". It matches the Rfam family "Bacterial small subunit ribosomal RNA", at positions 30 to 526 of the family's 1533-position model. The record is from RNAcentral.
AUUGAACGCUGGCGGCAGGCCUAACACAUGCAAGUCGAGCGGCGCGGCGGACGGGUGAGUAAUGCCUAGGAAUCUGCCUGGUAGUGGGGGAUAACGUCCGGAAACGGGCGCUAAUACCGCAUACUCUCAGCUGAGCCUCGGGCGGAUUAGCUAGUUGGUGGGGUAAAGGCCUACCAAGGCGACGAUCCGUAACUGGUCUGAGAGGAUGAUCAGUCAAACUGGAACUGAGACACGGUCCAGACUCAUACGGGAGGCAGCAGUGGGGAAUAUUGGACAAUGGGCGAAAGCCUGAUCCAGCCAUGCCGCGUGUGUGAAGAAGGGCUUCGGAUUGUAAAGCACUUUAAGUUGGGAGGCGUUACCAACAGAAUAAGCACCGGCUAACUUCGUGCCAGCAGCCGCGGUAAUUC